Molecule: unclassified non-coding RNA, 312 nt
Filed under: rhizosphere metagenome
Description: partial ribosomal RNA internal transcribed spacer region
Source: RNAcentral
GUAGGUGAACCUGCGGAAGGAUCAUUAUCACGUAUCCACGUAUAAACCAAUUCGUGAACUGUCACUCAAAACCUCUGAGCUAUCGGUCGCCAUCAUGAAUUAAUGAGCGCAUUGUAUGAUUAGGCGCUCUCAUGGUAAUCAAGACUGUCUCUUCAGAGUGUAUUAAUCAUACUUGCAACACAUUAACCACUUGAACCUUUAUAAAUUUCUUUGUUUGAACUGAUUUGUUUCUUACUCGGACGUCAAACUCUGAGAAGAAAUCGAAUACGAAACAAAAAAGAACAACUCUUAGCAACGGAUAUCUUGGUUCUC